This 496-nucleotide ribosomal RNA is filed under the name uncultured bacterium. RNAcentral describes it as "partial 16S ribosomal RNA". It matches the Rfam family "Bacterial small subunit ribosomal RNA", at positions 29 to 507 of the family's 1533-position model. The record is from RNAcentral.
AUGAACGCUGGCGGCGUGCCUAAUACAUGCAAGUCGAGCGAACAGACGAGGAGCUUGCUCCUCUGACGUUAGCGGCGGACGGGUGAGUAACACGUGGAUAACCUACCUAUAAGACUGGGAUAACUUCGGGAAACCGGAGCUAAUACCGGAUAAUAUAUUGAACCGCAUGGUUCAAUAGUGAAAGACGGUUUUGCUGUCACUUAUAGAUGGAUCCGCGCCGCAUUAGCUAGUUGGUAAGGUAACGGCUUACCAAGGCGACGAUGCGUAGCCGACCUGAGAGGGUGAUCGGCAUCACUGGAACUGAGACACGGUCCAGACUCCUACGGGAGGCAGCAGUAGGGAAUCUUCCGCAAUGGGCGAAAGCCUGACGGAGCAACGCCGCGUGAGUGAUGAAGGUCUUCGGAUCGUAAAACUCUGUUAUUAGGGAAGAACAAAUGUGUAAGUAACUAUGCACGUCUUGACGGUACCUAAUCAGAAAGCCACGGCUAACUACGUG